UUUUAUCCUUUUACUUCUUUCUCUUCGUUUAUUCGAUCGAACCCCAUCAUAAGAGUAUAACCACCACAAUUCUCCUCUGCGCUAAACCCACCGCUACUAUCUCCAUCGCCCACCAUCACUUUCUUCCAAAUCUCACCACCGUCACCACCAGCCCAACUGCAUCAUGCACUAUUGAACACCGUCGUAGCCAGAUCGAGAACAAACAGAUCUAGAAAUGAGAUUGAUUAUCUUCUUUAUCUUUUUGGAUUCGUAUUUUUCGUGCUGCAAAUCGCAAUUCAAGCCCCGUCAAUUGUAAAAUUGGUGAUGGAGAUUAAAGUGGAUUUAGGUGAUUAUGGUUCUUUUUCUUGUUUAAGUUUAUGCUAGUAAUGGUGGUAUUUUAAUUAACUAGUUGUUGUCAUUAUUGUUGGUGGCGAUGAGGGUGGGAAGAUGAAAUUGGUGAGGGAGAUACUGGCGGUUCUGGUUGUUUAGGUGGUGGUGGUGAUCUGGUGUGAUUCUAGUUGCUCUCCCCUCUCUCAAAAAAACAAAGCUGGUAUAUUCACCAUCCGCAUGGGGAUAAAAAUGUGAAAGUAAUAAGUUACUCAAGCUUACUGCUACCUGUUGAAGUACGGGACCGAUUGUCAGUUGAUGAGCAAGCCAUAUUUAAGGGUGCAACAGUUGGUUAUUUUUAUGUACAGUACCUUGAUCCACUGCAGAUAUCUAGAUGCCUAGCUAAUUGAUCUACAUCUAUUAGCCAUAACUGUAUCUUAAUGUGAGGAUGUCUAGCUAAUUGAUCCAGUAACUUACACUAGUAUGGCUGUAGAGUUAAAAUAUUGGUUGCGGAUGUGUUUGCAAGGCUAAAUAAUAAAUUUUCUGGAGAUAGGGAAAAAAUUAGAGUUGAUGGCAAAUAUUUUAUGGAGAUUUGGAAGGUUAUAGGAAUGAAAAAUCUUGAUAAGUCGGAGUUUGUGUGGUCUUCUGAUGCAAUAAACUCACGAGCUUCUGAGAACUAGGAUUUAGUUUUGGACAUAGUUGGUAUGUUUAGUGGGGAAAGGAUAAAAAAGCGAGGAGUAAUUUAUGUACUAAUGACGUACUAUUUUUAGUCUUAAUUACGUACUGAUUAACUUUUUAGAUUUCAAUUCAUCUUCUGAGUUUGUCAACUGUGAAGGCGUUGUGCGAUAAUGGGUCAGGAGGAGAACGAAGACUUGAGUCCUGGCCAGCUAAUGUACCCUUGUAUCCAGUGUGCUGAUAUCUUUCUCUUAGAGAUAUUUUCUCUUACAUUCUCGACCGAAUUGUAUCGUUCUGUAAUACAAUCUUAAAUCUUCUUUACUGCCAUAUCUCCAGGCUUGGCAAACCGGAUGUUAAUAUAAUGAUUUUGUGUUUAAGUUUUUAA
Molecule: long non-coding RNA, 1366 nt
Organism: Papaver somniferum (opium poppy)
Lineage: Eukaryota; Viridiplantae; Streptophyta; Magnoliopsida; Ranunculales; Papaveraceae
Exons: 2
Source: RefSeq, a predicted model, not a curated record